Gossypium arboreum is the source of this 226-nucleotide long non-coding RNA. RefSeq lists it as uncharacterized. NCBI's taxonomy places the organism in Eukaryota, Viridiplantae, Streptophyta, Magnoliopsida, Malvales, Malvaceae. The record is from RefSeq and is a predicted model, not a curated record. The transcript is spliced from 3 exons.
GGUACCUUUUCUUGGCUGAUGCCUUUAGCUGUAUGGCGUGCUCGUUUGGGUCAGGCAUCGGCUAAGAGUGCUCGGAGCAUGGAUUAACUCUAGUCUCCUAUCAGGUGAUUGAUUAUGGAAACGUUUCAACUUCAACCCUGAUUAUGGAAACGUUUCAACUUCAACCCAUAACAGGUAAUCCCUAAGCUUAGAUGGUUUGGAGCUGCGAGGGACUCGAAGAUGGCCA